RNAcentral lists this ribosomal RNA (461 nucleotides) under uncultured Comamonadaceae bacterium. Its description in RNAcentral is "bacterial SSU rRNA". It matches the Rfam family "Bacterial small subunit ribosomal RNA", at positions 30 to 486 of the family's 1533-position model. Lineage: Bacteria; Pseudomonadati; Pseudomonadota; Betaproteobacteria; Burkholderiales; Comamonadaceae. The record is from RNAcentral.
AUUGAACGCUGGCGGCAUGCCUUACACAUGCAAGUCGAACGGUAACAGGUCUUCGGAUGCUGACGAGUGGCGAACGGGUGAGUAAUGCAUCGGAACGUGCCCAGUAGUGGGGGAUAGCCCGGCGAAAGCCGGAUUAAUACCGCAUACGACCUGAGGGUGAAAGGGGGGGAUCGCAAGACCUCUCGCUAUUGGAGCGGCCGAUGUCAGAUUAGCUAGUUGGUGGGGUAAAGGCCUACCAAGGCAACGAUCUGUAGUUGGUCUGAGAGGACGACCAGCCACACUGGGACUGAGACACGGCCCAGACUCCUACGGGAGGCAGCAGUGGGGAAUUUUGGACAAUGGGCGCAAGCCUGAUCCAGCAAUGCCGCGUGCAGGAAGAAGGCCUUCGGGUUGUAAACUGCUUUUGUCAGGGAAGAAAUCUUCUGGGUUAAUACCUCGGGAGGAUGACGGUACCUGAAGAA